CUCAAUUCUAUUUUCACUGGAACAUUCAAAAUCCACCGGAAAUUAGCACAUGAUUCCCAAAAAUCGUCGGAAAUAAAUGCGAUUUAUAUGCCAAUUUCCGGUGGAUUUUGAACGUUUCGGUGAAAAUCGUGA
This 132-nucleotide microRNA precursor is filed under the name Rehmannia glutinosa. RNAcentral's name for it is "miR5575 stem-loop (rgl-MIR5575)". Lineage: Eukaryota; Viridiplantae; Streptophyta; Magnoliopsida; Lamiales; Orobanchaceae. The record is from miRBase by way of RNAcentral.